GAUGAAGAACGCAGCGAAAUGCGUUACUUGGUGUGAAUUGCAGAAUCCCGUGAACCAUCGAGUCUUUGAACGCAAGUUGCGCCCGAAGCCAUUAGGCCGAGGGCACGCCUGCCUGGGCGUCACACGUCGUUGCCCCCCCAUCUACUCCUUCGGGAUUGCGGGGGGCGGAUGAUGGCCUCCCGUGCGCCUCGCCGCGCGGUUGGCAUAAAUGCCAAGUCCUCGGCGACGCACGCCACGACAAUCGGUGGUUGCGAAACCUCGGUUGCCCGUCGUGUGCGGUCGUCGCGCAUCGAGGGCUCGAAAAAAUUGCCGGGUUCCGGCUCGGCUUUCAACGCGACCCCAGGUCAGGCGGGGUUACCCGCUGAAUUUAAGCAUAUCAAUAAGCGGAGGA
RNAcentral lists this unclassified non-coding RNA (391 nucleotides) under soil metagenome. RNAcentral describes it as "partial contains 5.8S ribosomal RNA, internal transcribed spacer 2, and large subunit ribosomal RNA". The stretch from base 1 to 122 matches the Rfam family "5.8S ribosomal RNA", at positions 35 to 154 of the family's 154-position model. The record is from RNAcentral.